This 429-nucleotide ribosomal RNA is filed under the name Chloroflexota bacterium. RNAcentral's name for it is "Chloroflexi bacterium partial 16S ribosomal RNA". It matches the Rfam family "Bacterial small subunit ribosomal RNA", at positions 355 to 776 of the family's 1533-position model. Lineage: Bacteria; Bacillati; Chloroflexota. The record is from RNAcentral.
UGGGGAAUAUUGCACAAUGGGCGCAAGCCUGAUGCAGCCAUGCCGCGUGUGUGAAGAAGGCCUUCGGGUUGUAAAGCACUUUCAGCGGGGAGGAAGGCGUUAAGGUUAAUAACCUUGGCGAUUGACGUUACCCGCAGAAGAAGCACCGGCUAACUCCGUGCCAGCAGCCGCGGUAAUACGGAGGGUGCAAGCGUUAAUCGGAAUUACUGGGCGUAAAGCGCACGCAGGCGGUCUGACAAGUCGGAUGUGAAAUCCCCGGGCUCAACCUGGGAACUGCAUUCGAAACUGGCAGGCUAGAGUCUUGUAGAGGGGGGUAGAAUUCCAGGUGUAGCGGUGAAAUGCGUAGAGAUCUGGAGGAAUACCGGUGGCGAAGGCGGCCCCCUGGACGAAGACUGACGCUCAGGUGCGAAAGCGUGGGGAGCAAACAGG